GUGAAGACUUUUAAAAUAGAGACCAACGUGGCCGGGCAGGAAGAGCAGGGUCCCGCCUUCAGGUGUUUGGGACUCAGCUGAGGGUGUGGGUGCCCCGCGGUGGGGGCUGAACCUUCCUGGGGUGUGGAGAGACGAAAGGAGCCCAGAUCCAAGUUCCCUCGUUCCCGCUUUGGCAUAAGUUGCCCUGGCGGUCUCAUGAGAGAGAGAAAGAGCUGGGACCCUCCUCGCCCCAGUGAGUGUGAUGUCUUGCUCCGGGUGUCCUGGGGCAACUUUCUAUACAGGCGGGACGUGGGAGGAUCAGACAGUGUAACAUCAGACAAGGGUGUUGACUCUGCAGCACAGAACCAGUAGUUUGUGGAGAAGAAUGGAGGUGUGGUGUUGAAUCUGCUAGACAGGCUACUGAAGCAAAAGUCAAGAGAUCCAGAUUCCAUCAUGGGGACACUUUAGUUCUUCAUCGGGUAAUUGAGCUGAUAUCAGGUGUCUGAAGGAGGCAAGUUUUGAAGAUGUGGGUCAUGAUGGCUGCUGAAGCUUCCACUCCAUAUUUGAAGGUCAGCAGUUCUCAGGAAACCUCUAGCACUUCCAUCCCUGGUGGGAUGUGAUGCCUGUCUCAGUGUAACAUCAGAGAAGGGGUGUACUCUGUGCCCUAGAACUAGGAGCUAACAGAGAAAAACCAAAUGUGAUGUGGAGUCUGCUAGACAGGCUACUGGAGCAAGAGUGAAGCGAUGAAAGUCUCAUCAUUGGGACAUAUUAGUGUGACAUGCAUAAAGGAAUUUCUUAUUGAGCCCCAGGAAGAAGAAACACUACAUAAGAGCAAAUAAUAAAAUCGGUCAGAUAGACAGAAGAUGGGAGUCAUCAAACCUGUAUCCCUCUUGCCAGACCUAUCAACUGACCAUACGUCAUUCAGGAGGCAGCAGGUGGCUGAAAUCCUGGUGUGAUGUGGCUGGAUCAUGCAUGAUCUGAGGACUCCUGCACAGAUGCAGUGGAUCCCCAGGUUGCAAGUCAUAUAACCUGAGCAUGCCCAGAUGAACCAAGUAUGCCUGAUUGGUGAACCUGGAACUGGCCAGAACAGAAAAUGUCAACCACAUGUGGAAUCUAAGUAUUCAGAUUGAGAAAUGAGGACCAAAAUGAGAACACUGAGCUCCUCACACAGGUGACUGAACCCGUGGUUUUGGUGUCUGAGAAGAUGCAGCUUCUCCAGUCUCUGCAACUGACGGCAGGAAGAUGGGAGCACUCAGCUUCAGUGUUCAGAAGCAGAUUUAGGCCAAUUGCCAUACCUUACGUUCUGGAGGGAUCCACCCUGACCUGAGCAGAAGGCAUCACACACAUUCCCAAGCAGCAUGGUUCCCGUGAGAAACUGAAAACUAAUUUCUUGAAUCUACAAUGCGA
RNAcentral lists this long non-coding RNA (1386 nucleotides) under Homo sapiens (human). RNAcentral describes it as "HSALNT0284966". Lineage: Eukaryota; Metazoa; Chordata; Mammalia; Primates; Hominidae. The record is from RNAcentral.